Columba livia (rock pigeon) is the source of this 2646-nucleotide RNA transcript. It is a transcript of the gene named G protein-coupled receptor kinase 5, with no coding region annotated. The record is from RefSeq and is a predicted model, not a curated record. The transcript is spliced from 17 exons. Lineage: Eukaryota; Metazoa; Chordata; Aves; Columbiformes; Columbidae.
GGGGAGCCCGCGGGGCGGAGGAUGGAGUAGCGGGGCGAGGCGCCGCGGGAGCAGAUAGCGCGGGGAGCGCCGCCUCCGCCCGGGGGAGAAGGGAGGAAGGCGGAGAUCAUGCACGGGGGGACACCGCGCUAGGGGCAGGAGGCGGGUGGUCGCCCGGAGGCUCCGCACCUCGGGAGUGACGUCCUGCUGCAGUGCCGCUGCUGCCGACGCUGCCCGAGCUCGUCAAUGGAGCUGGAAAACAUCGUUGCCAACACCGUCUUGUUGAAAGCCAGGGAAGGGGGUGGAGGGAAACGCAAAGGCAAAAGCAAGAAGUGGAAGGAAAUCUUGAAAUUCCCUCACAUUAGCCAGUGUGAAGAUCUCCGGAAAACAAUAGACAGAGAUUACUGCAGCAUAUGCGAAAAGCAACCGAUCGGAAGGCUUCUCUUUCGGCAGUUCUGUGAAACUCGACCCGAGCUUGAGUGCUGCAUUAGGUUCCUUGACUCGGUGGCAGAAUAUGAAAUUGCUCCAGAUGAAAAGCUGGGAGAGAAAGGAAAGGAAAUCAUGAUGAAAUACCUCACCCCAGAGUCUCCAGCCUUCGUUCCUGAAGUCAGUCAAGAUCUUAUCCAACAGACAGAGGAGAAACUCAAAAACAGCCCCUGCAAAGAGCUGUUUUCUCUCUGUACAAAAUCUGUCCUUGACCACCUCAGUGGGGAACCAUUCCAAGAAUACCUAAGCAGCAUGUACUUCGACAGGUUUCUCCAGUGGAAGUGGUUGGAAAGGCAACCAGUAACGAAAAACACGUUUCGGCAGUACAGGGUACUAGGGAAAGGCGGCUUUGGGGAGGUCUGCGCUUGCCAAGUCCGCGCGACGGGGAAGAUGUACGCCUGCAAGAGACUAGAGAAGAAGAGAAUAAAAAAGAGGAAAGGCGAAUCCAUGGCGCUAAAUGAAAAGCAGAUUUUAGAAAAAGUCAAUAGUCAGUUUGUAGUCAAUUUAGCCUAUGCCUAUGAAACAAAGGAUGCACUAUGCUUAGUUCUGACCAUAAUGAAUGGAGGUGACCUGAAGUUUCAUAUCUACAACAUGGGAAACCCAGGCUUUGAGGAGGAAAGAGCUUUGUUUUACGCAGCAGAGAUUCUUUGUGGCUUAGAAGACCUACACAGAGAAAAUACCGUGUACAGAGAUUUGAAGCCAGAAAAUAUCCUGCUAGAUGAUUAUGGCCAUAUUAGAAUAUCUGAUUUGGGUCUAGCUGUUAAAAUCCCUGAGGGUGAAUCAAUCCGUGGAAGAGUAGGAACAGUAGGAUAUAUGGCUCCAGAAGUGCUGAACAACCAGAGAUACACGCUCAGCCCUGACUACUGGGGGCUAGGCUGUCUCAUUUAUGAAAUGAUUGCUGGGCAAUCACCAUUUCGUGGAAGGAAAGAGAAGGUGAAGAGGGAAGAAGUGGACAGACGAGUGCUGGAGACAGAAGAGGUGUACUCCCACAAGUUUUCUGAGGAGGCCAAGUCCAUCUGUAAAAUGCUCCUCGCCAAAGACGUGAAGCAGCGGCUGGGGUGUCAAGGGGAAGGCACGGCAGAGGUGAAGAGGCACCCCUUUUUCAAGAGCAUGAAUUUCAAGCGGUUAGAAGCAGGAAUGCUGGAUCCUCCCUUUGUCCCUGAUCCCAGAGCAGUGUACUGCAAGGAUGUGUUAGACAUCGAGCAGUUCUCCACAGUGAAAGGAGUUAACCUGGACCAAACAGAUGAUGAUUUCUAUUCCAAGUUUUCCACAGGAUCGGUAUCUAUUCCAUGGCAAAAUGAGAUGAUAGAAACAGAGUGUUUCAAAGAGCUGAAUGUAUUUGGACCAAAUGGUACUAUUUCACCAGACCUAAACAGAAGUUACCCUCCAGAGCCACCCAAGAAAGGAUUGCUACAGAGAAUAUUUAAGCGACAGUGAAUUGAUUUGACUCCUGGAGCUCGAGUGAGACUUCUUUGCUGCAUUCCUCAAGAACUGCCACGGUCCUCCUGACCUAGAGAGAAUGCAGCAUCAGAACAAUUCAAAGAGUUCUCCAAAUUCAAAGGCCAGUUUAAAUCACCACAUAAAUUCAAAUCAUGUAAGUUCAAACUCCACUGGAAGCAGCUAGUUCCAACUCAGUUUUGUGAAACAACAUGUUGCAUCCUUCCACUAUAAUCUAUGGAGCUUCUAUGGAUGAGAGCGCCUCCACCGUUGAGUGAAAAAAUAGAAAUAAAAUAAAGAAAUCUCCCCCAAAUGGAGAUUUUUCUAUCCAUUCCUUCCAGUGGAGCCUCGCAUUUUAAGAAGAAUUUUCCACUCAGGUCUGUUUUUGGAGGUGGCACUCAAGACUGUGUGAAUCCGAUUUGUCUAUUUAGAACAUUGCAAUAGAAAUUCAAUGAACAUGACUACUUGCACGUAUUUAAAUAGCAUCAUACUAGAACUGAAUUUUGUCUUUAUUAUUUUUAAAGAAAAGUUUUGUAAAUUUCUCUAUUGUCUCAGUUUACAUUUUGUACAUUUGUAUUUAAAUGAAAGUCAGACUUUGGAGGUGUAUAUUUUCCAAGCAGCAGCUGUAAAGCCAUGUGUUUUAAGACAUUUUUUUAAAAGAAAAAAAAAUGUGACUCAAGACUUCCAGAGCCUCAAAAGAGAAAUCAUUCUUUUUAGUAAAUCUAGAAAAAUAUUCAUAAAUCA